AUAGUCGAUGACGAAGACCUAAUCUCGUACAUCGUCGCCAGCCUUGAUGAAGACUACGACCCUGUCGUCUCCUCUCUAGUCGGGAGGCUGGAUCCGGUCACAAUCAGUGACGCAUAUGCGCAGCUCCUAAGCUUUGAAC
Molecule: small nucleolar RNA, 139 nt
Filed under: Leersia perrieri
Lineage: Eukaryota; Viridiplantae; Streptophyta; Magnoliopsida; Poales; Poaceae
Description: snoRNA snoZ247
Rfam family: Small nucleolar RNA Z247
About the family: Z247 is a member of the C/D class of snoRNA which contain the C (UGAUGA) and D (CUGA) box motifs. Most of the members of the box C/D family function in directing site-specific 2'-O-methylation of substrate RNAs.
Source: Rfam by way of RNAcentral